AUACAAUACCACAACAUAGUAUAAGAGCAAAGUCAUUUCAAUCAUAAGCACAAAUGCAAGAUACAACACACAUAUAGCCAUAAAAGCUCAUGAGCUGAGGUACAAGUUCAUGUCAUCCAAAUACAAAGGAUCCAAGUCACAAAAUCAAGAACAUUGUAAGUCAAUGCAUUCAUUAUGCUAAGAAAUCCAAGACAGUCACCAAGCCACAUCAAUCAUCCAAACAUGUAUCAAGUUCCAAAUUCAGCAUUCAAACU
Molecule: long non-coding RNA, 254 nt
Filed under: Lathyrus oleraceus (garden pea)
Lineage: Eukaryota; Viridiplantae; Streptophyta; Magnoliopsida; Fabales; Fabaceae
Description: Pisum sativum (pea) long non-coding RNA (PSAT_LNC009893)
Source: RNAcentral